RNAcentral lists this ribosomal RNA (253 nucleotides) under uncultured bacterium. RNAcentral's name for it is "partial 16S ribosomal RNA". It matches the Rfam family "Bacterial small subunit ribosomal RNA", at positions 524 to 776 of the family's 1533-position model. The record is from RNAcentral.
UACGUAGGGUGCAAGCGUUAAUCGGAAUUACUGGGCGUAAAGCGUGCGCAGGCGGCUUUGCAAGACAGAUGUGAAAUCCCCGGGCUCAACCUGGGAACUGCAUUUGUGACUGCAAGGCUUGAGUUCGGGAGAGGGAUGCGGAAUUCCAGGUGUAGCGGUGAAAUGCGUAGAUAUCUGGAGGAACACCGGUGGCGAAGGCGGCAUCCUGGACCGACACUGACGCUGAGGAGCGAAAGCCAGGGGAGCAAACGGG